Prunus avium (sweet cherry) is the source of this 913-nucleotide non-coding RNA. NCBI's taxonomy places the organism in Eukaryota, Viridiplantae, Streptophyta, Magnoliopsida, Rosales, Rosaceae. The record is from RefSeq and is a predicted model, not a curated record.
CGCGUGUGCGAGAAGAGCGAAAGCAUCUAAAAGAAAAAAAAAGGACGAGCUCGCUCAGAGCAAGACCAGCGAGACCAGCGAUAUCGUCUUCUUCGACGAGCGAGCUCAUAGCGAGACCAGCGAAACCAGAGAGAGCGAUACCGUCUCUUCAACGAGCGUCUUCCUCUUCGUCUCUGUCGUUUUGAUUUCUAAGUUUUUUCCCAAUAUCAUUUUGCAGUGGACAUGUUCUGAUAUAAACAAUGCAUGUCCUGAUUAGACUGUUAUAUAUUGUGUUGAAUUUCACAAUCCAUUGAAUUUCAAGACCUCUAAGGUAUUUUCUUUUUGUUCUCUCACUCGAUGACUGUGGAUUUGGGGUUUCAAAAGCUAAGCAAUGGAAGGGCGGGUUAGGGUUUCCAAAAUUGAGAGAAUGAUGGAGUUCGAUUUCGAAUAAUGAAGUGAUAAUUUGACUUGGAAUUGGUUGUUUGUUCGAGCAGGUUUGCUUAGAAUAUUAGAAUUCCUUGGUUUUGGGACUGUUUGAGUUGCAUCAUAAUUUGGAUAAUCCUGCAGCAGCUGCAAAUAUGGUGGGGCUGCAGGUCCUAUAUUUUCGUUUUCACCAUUGGCCAUCCAUACACGGAAUCUGUUAGCUGAUCCAAGAUGCACACUUGUAGUGCAGGUCUGAUGGAUAAGUUUCUUCUAGUAUAUCAGCAUGGUUGAAGUUUCCAGGUCUGAUGGAUAAAUUUCUAGUAUAUCAAAGGACAAAGGACAGAAGACAAUCUAGUAGUGAUGAAUCUUAUGGUCUUUGUUUUUGGGAAUCAAUUGACAUUUAGGUUGAACUUAAAUAUCUAGCAUUUUGUUUUUGAGACAUCUUGUGAAUUUGUUGGAAGAAUGUUAGAUAUAUGGAUUGCGUUUGAAUACAAUGAAUUAUGUGAUGCUA